GACGGACGCUGGCGGCGUGCUUAACACAUGCAAGUCGAACGCUGAAGCACCAGCUUGCUGGUGUGGAUGAGUGGCGAACGGGUGAGUAAUACGUGAGUAACCUGCCCUUGACUCUGGGAUAAGCCCGGGAAACUGGGUCUAAUACUGGAUGCUACAUGUCACCGCAUGGUGGUGUGUGGAAAGGGUUUACUGGUCUUGGAUGGGCUCACGGCCUAUCAGCUUGUUGGUGAGGUAAUGGCUCACCAAGGCGACGACGGGUAGCCGGCCUGAGAGGGUGACCGGCCACACUGGGACUGAGACACGGCCCAGACUCCUACGGGAGGCAGCAGUGGGGAAUAUUGCACAAUGGGCGAAAGCCUGAUGCAGCGGCGCCGCGUGAGGGAUGACGGCCUUCGGGUUGUAAACCUCUUUCAGCAGGGAAGAAGCCACAAGUGACGGUACCUGCAGAAGAAGCGCCGGCUAACUACGUG
RNAcentral lists this ribosomal RNA (470 nucleotides) under uncultured bacterium. RNAcentral's name for it is "partial 16S ribosomal RNA". It matches the Rfam family "Bacterial small subunit ribosomal RNA", at positions 28 to 507 of the family's 1533-position model. The record is from RNAcentral.